This 404-nucleotide ribosomal RNA is filed under the name uncultured bacterium. RNAcentral describes it as "partial 16S ribosomal RNA". It matches the Rfam family "Bacterial small subunit ribosomal RNA", at positions 30 to 526 of the family's 1533-position model. The record is from RNAcentral.
AUUGAACGCUGGCGGCAGGCCUAACACAUGCAAGUCGAGCGAGCGGCGGACGGGUGAGUAAUGCCUGGGAAUUGCCCAGUCGAGGGGUAUAACAGUAGGAAACGACUGCUAAUACCGCAUACGAUUGGAAUGCCCAGGUGGGAUUAGCUAGUUGGUGAGGUGAUGGCUCACCAAGGCGACGAUCCCUAGCUGGUCUGAGAGGAUGAUCAGCCAUACUGUAACUGAGGCGCGGUCCAGACUCAUACGGGAGGCAGCAGUGGGGAAUAUUGCACAAUGGGGGAACUCGUGAUGCAGCCAUGCCGCGGGUUUGAAGAAGGCCUUCGGGUUGUAAAGCACUUUCAGCGAGGAGGCGUUACUCGCAGAAGAAGCACCGGCUAACUCCGUGCCAGCAGCCGCGGUAAUUC